Cicer arietinum (chickpea) is the source of this 616-nucleotide long non-coding RNA. RefSeq lists it as uncharacterized. The record is from RefSeq and is a predicted model, not a curated record. NCBI's taxonomy places the organism in Eukaryota, Viridiplantae, Streptophyta, Magnoliopsida, Fabales, Fabaceae.
UUGGGCUCUAACCAACUAUUUUAUUAUUUUUUUUGGACCCAAGUCAAGGGGCUCUGGGCCCCAUUUCAUUUCCUACUCACAAUUUGGGAACACAUAACACACAAUUUGGAACACUAGCAAUGUGCAAUAACUUCUCAAGAUCCAUUUUCUCUUCCUUCACCGUUGAUUCUCAUUCCAUGCACUAUUACAGUCAUUUUUCGUCCUCUGCUAAUGUUACCUUCUUCCAUGAAAGUGAAGUUGGAUUCUCUGAACCGGUGACCUUCCAGGAUUUUAAAGCUUUUCAAAAUCAGUCUACAUCUAUCACCGAGAAGAGUGAUUGUAUAUCUUGAAGAAAAGUCCAUUGAACUUGAUAAAGAACACUACGAAGCUUUUGAGGUUCCUUUAUUGGGAGGUUUAUGGGAAAAAGUAUCAUGUACUCUCCUUAAUGACAUGAGAUGUGCUUAAUAUUUCUAUUACCACAGUGGCAUGAGAAUGUUCUUUCAAUAUUGGUGGAUGUGUUCUCACCAAAUACACAAGUUCCAUUCUUCUUGAACACGUCCAAAUAUUGAUUUGUACUCAAAACUGAAUAUAUGGAUUUAAUGAAAAUCUAAAUCGUAAUAUUUAUUAUUAUAAUUUA